GGUUGAUCCUGCCAGUAGUCAUAUGCUUGUCUCAAAGAUUAAGCCAUGCAUGUCUAAGUAUAAGCUUUUAUACGGUGAAACUGCGAAUGGCUCAUUAAAACAGUUAUAGUUUAUUUGAUGGUCUCUUUUACAUGGAUAACCAUGGUAAUUCUAUGGCUAAUACAUGCGCACUGGCCACCUUCUCUGGAGGGGCUGUGUUUAUUAGAUACAAAACCAACCCACUUUAUGUGGAGCCUUGGUGAUUCAUAGUAACCGAACGGAUCGCAGUUGGCUUUUCGGCCCGCGAUGGAUC
This 292-nucleotide ribosomal RNA is filed under the name uncultured eukaryote. RNAcentral's name for it is "partial 18S ribosomal RNA". It matches the Rfam family "Eukaryotic small subunit ribosomal RNA", at positions 6 to 296 of the family's 1831-position model. The record is from RNAcentral.